Molecule: ribosomal RNA, 492 nt
Filed under: uncultured bacterium
Lineage: Bacteria
Description: partial 16S ribosomal RNA
Rfam family: Bacterial small subunit ribosomal RNA
Source: RNAcentral
AGUGAACGCUGGCGGUAGGCCUAACACAUGCAAGUCGAACGGCAGCACAGUAAGAGCUUGCUCUUACGGGUGGCGAGUGGCGGACGGGUGAGGAAUACAUCGGAAUCUACUUUUUCGUGGGGGAUAACGUAGGGAAACUUACGCUAAUACCGCAUACGACCUACGGGUGAAAGCAGGUGAUCUUCGGACCUUGCGCGAUUGAAUGAGCCGAUGUCGGAUUAGCUAGUUGGCGGGGUAAAGGCCCACCAAGUCGACGAUCCGUAGCUGGUCUGAGAGGAUGAUCAGACACACUGGAACUGAGACACGGUCCAGACUACUACGGGAGGCAGCAGUGGGGAAUAUUGGACAAUGGGCGCAAGCCUGAUCCAGCCAUACCGCGUGGGUGAAGAAGGCCUUCGGGUUGUAAAGCCCUUUUGUUGGGAAAGAAAAGCAGCAGGUUAAUACCCCGCUGUUCUGACGGUACCCAAAGAAUAAGCACCGGCUAACUUCGUG